Molecule: transfer RNA, 69 nt
Filed under: Coomaniella copipes
Lineage: Eukaryota; Metazoa; Arthropoda; Insecta; Coleoptera; Buprestidae
Description: tRNA-Gln
Source: RNAcentral
UAUGCCUUAGUAUAUGAUGUAUAAAAGUUUUUGAUACUGGAGGAAACAGUUUAAUUCUGUUAGGUGUAA